This 468-nucleotide ribosomal RNA is filed under the name uncultured bacterium. Its description in RNAcentral is "partial 16S ribosomal RNA". It matches the Rfam family "Bacterial small subunit ribosomal RNA", at positions 28 to 507 of the family's 1533-position model. The record is from RNAcentral.
GACGAACGCUGGCGGCGUGCUUAACACAUGCAAGUCGAACGGAAAGGCCCUGCUUUUGUGGGGUGCUCGAGCGGCGAACGGGUGAGUAACACGUGAGUAACCUGCCCUUGACUUUGGGAUAACUUCAGGAAACUGGGGCUAAUACCGGAUAGGAGCUCCUGCUGCAUGGUGGGGGUUGGAAAGUUUCGGCGGUUGGGGAUGGACUCGCGGCUUAUCAGCUUGUUGGUGGGGUAGUGGCUUACCAAGGCUUUGACGGGUAGCCGGCCUGAGAGGGUGACCGGCCACAUUGGGACUGAGAUACGGCCCAGACUCCUACGGGAGGCAGCAGUGGGGAAUAUUGCACAAAGGGCGGAAGCCUGAUGCAGCAACGCCGCGUGCGGGAUGACGGCCUUCGGGUUGUAAACCGCUUUCGCCUGUGACGAAGCGUGAGUGACGGUAAUGGGUAAAGAAGCACCGGCUAACUACGUG